GGAGAUGUAACUCAGUGAUUGAGUGCUUGCCUAGAAUACAAGAAAGCCCUGAGUUCAAUCUCCAGCAAUGCCA
RNAcentral lists this transfer RNA (73 nucleotides) under Fukomys damarensis (Damara mole-rat). It matches the Rfam family "tRNA". From Rfam's summary of the family: Transfer RNA (tRNA) molecules are approximately 80 nucleotides in length. Their secondary structure includes four short double-helical elements and three loops (D, anti-codon, and T loops). Further hydrogen bonds mediate the characteristic L-shaped molecular structure. tRNAs have two regions of fundamental functional importance: the anti-codon, which is responsible for specific mRNA codon recognition, and the 3' end, to which the tRNAs corresponding amino acid is attached (by aminoacyl-tRNA synthetases). tRNAs cope with the degeneracy of the genetic code in two manners: having more than one tRNA (with a specific anti-codon) for a particular amino acid; and 'wobble' base-pairing, i.e. permitting non-standard base-pairing at the 3rd anti-codon position. Lineage: Eukaryota; Metazoa; Chordata; Mammalia; Rodentia; Bathyergidae. The record is from Rfam by way of RNAcentral.